This 549-nucleotide ribosomal RNA is filed under the name Saturnispora silvae. RNAcentral's name for it is "eukaryotic LSU rRNA". It matches the Rfam family "Eukaryotic large subunit ribosomal RNA", at positions 62 to 656 of the family's 3401-position model. Lineage: Eukaryota; Fungi; Ascomycota; Pichiomycetes; Pichiales; Pichiaceae. The record is from RNAcentral.
AAACCAACAGGGAUUGCCUCAGUAGCGGCGAGUGAAGCGGCAAAAGCUCCAUUUUGAAAGCUCUUCGGAGCGUUGUAGAUUGGUGGGAAGCUAACGGCUGGUGGGAGACCAAGUCCUCUGGAACGAGGCGCCAUAGAGGGUGAGAGCCCCGUGUGUCUCCUUUACCGACCUUUCAGCCCCCUCCGCGGAGUCGAGUUGUUUGGGAAUGCAGCUCUAAGUGGGUGGUAAAUUCCAUCUAAGGCUAAAUAUUGGCGAGAGACCGAUAGCGAACAAGUACAGUGAUGGAAAGAUGAAAAGCACUUUGAAAAGAGAGUGAAACAGUACGUGAAAUUGUUGAAAGGGAAGGGUAUUUGGCCCGACAUGGGUCCUAUGCACCGUUGCCUCUCGUGGGCGGCGCUCUGCUUGGGCCUGGGCCAGCGUCAGUUUGGAGGGGGCGAGAAGGGUUUUGGGGAGUUGCCUAGCAAUUCCCCUUUGCUAGAUUGCCCCACACCGGACUGAGGACCGCCAUCUGUAGGAUGCUGGCACAACGGCCAAAUACCGCCCGUCUUG